GGAGAGGUGCUCGAGUGGUUGAAGAGGCACGCCUGGAAAGUGUGUAAACGCUGAAAGCGUUUCGCGGGUUCGAAUCCCGCUCUCUCCGC
RNAcentral lists this transfer RNA (89 nucleotides) under Porphyromonas gingivalis. Its description in RNAcentral is "tRNA-Ser(gga)". It matches the Rfam family "tRNA". From Rfam's summary of the family: Transfer RNA (tRNA) molecules are approximately 80 nucleotides in length. The record is from RNAcentral. Lineage: Bacteria; Pseudomonadati; Bacteroidota; Bacteroidia; Bacteroidales; Porphyromonadaceae.